This 942-nucleotide long non-coding RNA is filed under the name Olea europaea subsp. europaea. The record is from RNAcentral. Lineage: Eukaryota; Viridiplantae; Streptophyta; Magnoliopsida; Lamiales; Oleaceae.
UUCCUCCAUGAACAAAUUGAAAGAAUGGAAAUAAGCUUUGUUUAACUUUAAAGCCCAGAAACAGACCGAGAGUGAGCACAAACUGCAAAAUUACCAAGUCUACAGAGCAAUUUCAAUGGUGGAAGUGGUACCAAGCAAUAGGUUAACAAAUUACUUCUUUCAUGUGCAAUCAUGGGUUUUUUCCAAAAACAUAAUUCGUCUUCAAUAACGAUUUAACAGAGUUAAAUACAUAUAAUAUAAGGGGAGAAAUAGGUUACUAGCUUGUCAUGUUGUAGUCAUCUGGUUGCAGAUAAGGAUUAUAGUUUCCUGGAACUUCCAUCUUUCCAAUCAAAUUAUCCAUCCCUGCAUUUGUCAAAUUCCCAAGCAAUUUCAUCGUGUCAUACGCUGUAAAGAAUAGCGAAACAAAUACAGAUGUAGCGCUAGCUUACAUUCGAAAAAAGCUCAACAUUUUUUAACAAAAAAAGCUGUGGAAGUCUGGUAAAAAACUUGAGAAGUAUCUCUGACUUCACCUGUUAGCUUUUAACUUCUGAAAUACUCUUAUACCUCAGGUUAGUUUUGCUAAAGUUACCAAUAGGACAGAAAAACUCUAUAAAAGAGAAAGUAGCAAGUGGUCCAUUUUGAGGAUUGCACCGAUUGAAGAAAUUAAAGGAAGAACAAUGUAACUAGUGGGAAUAUAUUUAGCGGAGAAAUAAGAGGCUCCUUAUUCAUAAGUGUGAUUUGUCACAACUAAACAACAUAUAUUGCCUUGAUUCUUAUUUAAACGUAGAAAUGAUCUAAACGGAGAGGCAAAAUAAUUAAGGUAAUCGACCCCAAAUUUAUUGAGACUAAGACUAAACUUGGUACUAUAUCAUAUUUUAAAGUGAAGAUGAUAAAAGAAAAUUGUAAAGGAGUAAGAAAUGCGUACUCGGAUUUGCUAACAUAGAGCCAUAGAAGGACAUUUGC